Molecule: ribosomal RNA, 300 nt
Filed under: uncultured Lactobacillus sp.
Lineage: Bacteria; Bacillati; Bacillota; Bacilli; Lactobacillales; Lactobacillaceae
Description: bacterial SSU rRNA
Rfam family: Bacterial small subunit ribosomal RNA
Source: RNAcentral
GGUUAGUACGUGCCAGCGGCUGGUGUAAUACGUAGGCGGGAAGCGUUGUUUGGGGUUACUGGGCGUAAAGGGUGUGUAGGCGGUUGGUUAAGGUUGGUGUGAAAUCUCCCGGCUCAACUGGGAGGGUGCGCCGAAUACUGAAUGACUAGAGUGCGGGAGAGGAGAGUGGAAUUCCUGGUGUAGCGGUGAAAUGCGUAGAUAUCAGGAGGAACACCGGUGGUGUAGACGGCUCUCUGGACCGUAACUGACGCUGAGACACGAAAGCGUGGGUAGCAAACAGGAUUAGAUACCCCAGUAGUC